Molecule: long non-coding RNA, 1025 nt
Filed under: Chloebia gouldiae (Gouldian finch)
Lineage: Eukaryota; Metazoa; Chordata; Aves; Passeriformes; Passeridae
Description: Erythrura gouldiae (Gouldian finch) lncRNA (ENSEGOG00005018722.1)
Source: RNAcentral
CCGGCCCAAGUGGCCGCGGUCACCUGGGCUGGGGGGGGGGGGUGGGGACAUGGCUGCCACCCCUGCGCCGUGUCACCGAUGUCACCAAAUGUCACCGAAUGUCACCGAAUGUCACCGAAUGUCACUGAAUGUCACCAAAUGUCACCGAGGUCCCCAAAGUCCCCAAAGUCCCCAAGGUCCCCAAUGUCCCCCCAAUGUCCCCAAUGUUCCCAAUGUCCCCCCAAUGUCCCCAAUGUUCCCAAUGUCACCAAAUGUCCCCAAUGUCCCCAAGGUCCCCAAAGUCCUCGAGGUCCCCAAGGUCCUCAAUGUCCCCAAGGUCCCCGAUGUCCCCAAUGCCCCCCAAUGCCCCCCAAUGCCCCCCAAGGUCCCCCAGGGGACCCGGGGGUGGCGCCGCUCCCCUGCAGGUGACAUCCGUGUGACAGCGGGGGUGGCCCUGCGUGGGGACAGGCGGCUCGUGACCCCUGAGCUGCUUUUGUCCCUCUCCCUGUCCCUGUCCCUUGUUCCUGUCCCUGUCCCCAUCCCUGUCCCUGUCCCCUGUCCCCAAUCCUGUCCUGUCCCCAUCCCUGUCCCCUGUCCCCUGUCCCGUGUCCCGCUGUCCCCGUGUCCCCCUGUCCUGCUGUCCCCACCCGUGUCCCCCUGUCCCCCUGUCCCGUGUCCCGCUGUCCGCUGUCCCCCUGUCCUGCUGUCCCCACCCGUGUCCCGCUGUCCCCGCAGGGUGUCCCCAAGCCCUUCACCGAGGUGAUCAGGGCCAACAUCGGCGACGCGCACGCCAUGGGCCAGCAGCCCAUCACCUUCCUGCGCCAGGUACGGCCGCGGCGCCACCGCCGCGUGUCCCCGCCUGUCACCCCCCUGUCCCCGCGUGUCCCCCGCCUGUCCCCGCGUGUCACCGCCUGUCACCCAAUUGUCACCUCCUGUUACCCCCCUGUCACCUCCUGUCCCCCGCCUGUCCCCGCCUGUCCCCCGCCUGUCCCCGCCUGUCCCCCACUGUCCCCGCCUGUCCCCCUCCUGUCCCCGCGUGUCCCCCG